This is a long non-coding RNA of Gallus gallus (chicken), 1022 nucleotides long. RefSeq lists it as uncharacterized. The record is from RefSeq and is a predicted model, not a curated record. The transcript has 3 exons. NCBI's taxonomy places the organism in Eukaryota, Metazoa, Chordata, Aves, Galliformes, Phasianidae.
GAUCGGCAUCGCCCUCGCCGCCGCGAUCGGCCUCGUACUGCUGCUGGAGCUGCAGCUGCCGGUAGAACUCCUCGUUGCCGUCCUCUCCGCUCAUCCUGGCCCCGGGCCUCGGCGCUGAGGGGGAAGGCAGACGGCCACUCCGGGCCUACGCUCCCGCGCUGCCGACUGAGGCACUGCUCGCCCCGCCCCCUCAGAGCGGCGGGGCCGGGAGCGCGCGAGGACCCGCGGGCACGCGCAGGCAACAGCGGCGAGCGCGCACCGCCUCCUCAGCCCCGCGCCGCCGGUGACCGACCCCGGACCUUGCAACGCGCAGGAGCGGAAGUAGCACCCAGCCCGCGCAAGGAGCUCCUUCCUUCAUCUCAGCCAAUGAGACGCGGGAUGGCAGAUCACGUGGAGAUCGCGGAGCCAAUGGGAAGGCAGCGUGAUCUUACCCUGCUCGGAACGGCGGGCGCGCACGGAAGAGAUUCUACACGAAGGAUGGGUGGAGCUGUGCAGCACCCAACUGCGUCCCGUUCUUUUGGAACUGAAGGAAAGGCAAUUGGAUACCUUUAUCAUGCACAUGAAUACCCAUUACAGGUAGGAAUUUCAGUUGUUCUCAAUUCCACAUUCCAUCUGAAGGUACAGGGCAAUGCUGUCAAACCUGUAAGCAGACAUCUAAUCAUCUUUAAGAGCUCUAAAUCCCAGGUGGCAGUGACAGUGCAGCUGAAAAACAAAGACAUACAGUUGACAGGAACACCUUGGAAAACCAAGUCCAAUUUCUUAAUGCAGAAGUUGAUCAAAAUCCAUUUUGAAGAUGUAAGGAAAGAUACUGCUUGAGGAACCUAACCAUCUGUUCCAGAGACAGCCAGUUAAUGGGCUCAAAAAUAUGACUUGAAACUCAAUAUUCUGGAUAUUGGGUUCUGAGGAUAGAUGAAGGGAGCAGAGGGAAGAUUGGAUAAUGUACAACGUAAUGCAAGAGGACAGACCAUGAGGAGUGAUAAUGAUGAAUAAAAGAAAGUUGUCAGUCUCUGUACCAUGAUGGU